GCCGCCAACGUCCGUCCUCCUCCCCACGGACUUAAUACUCAUCAUAAUAGCUAUAAAUCCGACCAUUGAACCACUAGAAACUGCUCAAUGGAGCUCAUACACCACCGCCAUUGCAUCCAGAUUAAUAAGCAUGCCCUGCAGCUGCAGCCCUACUGCAAUCCACAUCCACAACAAGCAGACGUUGUCACCACGCCCAGCGCCAGCGGCCUACACGCUGGUUCAUCACGAUUUAAUUGGAUUCAUCUACUGCUACCUUAGGCCCUCACGAUUUCACUGGAUUCAAUCCGUUGCUACCUCAGGCCUUCCCGAUUUCUUCGUAUUUAUUCUCAGUUUGGUCGCUGAAGAUUUCCUUGGGUUCAUUGGUAACUCGAUCUGCUGACACUACAAAUCGCCUUUAUCCAUCGGACGAGACACAUGAGGAUGGAUGAGGGAACUAUCUAGGAUCAACCAAGCGCAUUGAUGCACAUAAUCAUGCAGACGGUGGAAAAGCAAGGCUAGAGGCCCUCUACUGUCUUAACCGCCCCUCUCAAAGAUAGUAUCGGAUCUGAACCUUUUGCUCUUCUCCAAUGGUUUCCCAUACACAGGUUCCAAUAUGUUUAAGUCCUCUAGAAUUCCGGCUGGCCAUCUGCAUCCUGGUGGAGUCCGGGUCCUUCCAUUCUUUGUUUGUGAAACUGACAAUUGGAAUUCCCAUAAGAUAAUAUAACCGAGAAAUUUCAUUUGAUUUCAGCAUAUUAUUUGGAUUUUAGGUGGCUAAUUCUCCGGCUAAACAUUGGUUAACAAAUAUAUUAAGCUGAGGAUCUUCACUUACUGAGAGAUUCAGAGUAAGACAUGUUCCCGUGUUGAACUGUCCAGCGGCAUGGCUGGUACUGAAAAAAAACUGCCGUGCUACCAAAGAUUUGGUACAUCUUUACCUCCUUUCUACACACAAGUGGGAAGUAGUGGAUCAACGUCCACUGAAUUCGGUCAGAGGAAUAUGUACAUGUGUUUGAAUUUGGCAAUCCAUGCUUCUUAUGAAUAAGAGCAUUUCAGUGUAUGAGAUUUGUCAAAUAGUGAUUCUUACGAAUAAAAUCAGUUCAA
This is a long non-coding RNA of Lolium perenne, 1077 nucleotides long. RefSeq lists it as uncharacterized. The record is from RefSeq and is a predicted model, not a curated record. Lineage: Eukaryota; Viridiplantae; Streptophyta; Magnoliopsida; Poales; Poaceae.